UGGGGAAUAUUGGGCAAUGGGGGAAACCCUGACCCAGCAACGCCGCGUGAAGGAAGAAGGCCUUCGGGUUGUAAACUUCUUUGAUCAGGGAAGAAACAAAUGACGGUACCUGAAAAACAAGCCACGGCUAACUACGUGCCAGCAGCCGCGGUAAUACGUAGGUGGCAAGCGUUAUCCGGAUUUACUGGGUGUAAAGGGCGUGUAGGCGGUCUCAUAAGUCAGAUGUGAAAUUCCCGGGCUUAACCCGGGCGCUGCAUCUGAAACUGUGGGACUUGAGUACUGGAGAGGAUAGUGGAAUUCCUAGUGUAGCGGUAAAAUGCGUAGAUAUUAGGAGGAACACCGGUGGCGAAGGCGACUAUCUGGACAGUAACUGACGCUGAGGCGCGAAAGCGUGGGGAG
RNAcentral lists this ribosomal RNA (399 nucleotides) under uncultured bacterium. RNAcentral describes it as "bacterial SSU rRNA". It matches the Rfam family "Bacterial small subunit ribosomal RNA", at positions 355 to 768 of the family's 1533-position model. The record is from RNAcentral.